GGACUACCGGGGUUUCUAAUCCUGUUUGCUACCCACGCUUUCGCGCAUCAGCGUCAGAACCGGUCCAGGUAGCCGCCUUCGCCACUGGUGUUCCUCCCAAUAUCUACGCAUUUCACCGCUACACUGGGAAUUCCGCUACCCCCUCCCGGACUCAAGCCUUCCAGUUUCAAAGGCAGUUCCUCAGUUGAGCCGAGGGAUUUCACCUUUGACUUAGAUAGCCGCCUACGCGCCCUUUACGCCCAAUAAUUCCGAAUAACGCUCGCCCCCUCCGUAUUACCGCGGCUGCUGGCAC
This 292-nucleotide ribosomal RNA is filed under the name uncultured Acidobacteriota bacterium. Its description in RNAcentral is "uncultured Acidobacteria bacterium partial 16S ribosomal RNA". Lineage: Bacteria; Pseudomonadati; Acidobacteriota. The record is from RNAcentral.